GGUGGUAUGCAUGUUAAUGAAUUGAAUUAAGUCAAACUUGAUGAACCAGGCUCACGGUGAUUUAAGAGUUUCUUCAACAAAUUGAAACUUUGAUGUUCUCUAUUUUCAGUUUAGGAUAUCUAUAAUGCUAGAGAGCUUGUACUUGUUACAUUAAGUCAAACUUGAUGAACCAGGCUCACGGUGAUUUAAGAGUUUCUUCAACAAAUAGAAACUUUAAAGGGUAAUUAUAUUCACACCACAAUUUGUAUUUUUUGUGCCACAUUUUAGGGGUUGUUUGAGCCCCAUUUUUCUCAAAAAAUGCAUUUUGAAAUAAUGUUAUGAUGGAGAAUGUGUGGUUAAAAAUAAGUAGAAGUUUUGGAUUUGCGUAUAAUAUUAUUUUAUUGAAAAAUGUGUCAAUGAAAUAGUGUCAAAUCACUGUUGAAGGUCUUAAUUGCAUUUUUAAGGUUCUUAAUCUUUGCUCAUUAUAAUAAUUAUGCCCUAACACCUUGUUAUAUUUUUUGAGAAUUGAUUUUUUAACCUUUAGAGAGAAAGGUGAGUCCUAUCGGUGAGAGGAAAAUAAAAAAUGACAGUUGAAAUAGUGAAAUAACGGUCAAAAUUUUGAUUUUUUGGGGAGAAAAAUCAAUAUCAAACAUGCACUUAAUUUUUUGUCAAAUAUAAUUUGUGAUAACAUAUUAUAGUUAGACAAUAGGUCACAUCCAAUAGAUUACUGGUCACAAUAGAUCACAAUUAACACACUUGGUCACAAAAGGUCAUAGUCAACAUAUUAAUGGGUUAUAAACUUUUAAAAAUGAAUUGCAAUGAAUAAUUUUUGGCUAAUUAAUUUGAUAAUUUGCAAUGAAUAAAUGAGUUGUGAUCAACAGAAAUUUUGAUUUUUUGAGCGAUGUAUAGUCUGUGACCUAUAAAAAUUUUGAUUCUUGACCGAUACAUAAUCUGUGAUCCAUAAAUUUUUUUAUUUGUGACUGAGUUAAGGUCAAGGUUCACUAGUCACAGGUUUGAGUUCACAGACUAGAUGUUGCCGAAGAAGCUGCUGAGUUGCCGCCAAAAAUUGCGGGAACAAUAGAGAAACUGGAUUUUGUUUCUCUCUUCUUUUAGCUUUUUAAUAUUUUUUGAGAAUUUUUCCACUGUUUUCUGGUGGAAUCCUCUACCGGUGGAAACUAAACAGUUGCUACUCUGAAAGUAAUGUUGGGUUUCAUUGGUAUUUUUAGAAGAAUAAAUAUAUAUGUACAAACUAUGGUUGACAAAAUCUUUCACUCUCUCUCACAUAUUGUGUGGACCCCGCAUGUAUUUAAAAAAUGGCGGUUUGUAGUCCCCACCCCUAUUGUGAGUAGUGAGUAAAAGAUUGUGUAAAAAAAGUUUGUACAUGUAGCAUUCUAUUUAUAGAAAGAGAGAGUGCAGAUCUAGGGUUCAUAUUUUUUCUCUCACAUAUUUUUUUAAUAAAAUAAUAUUAAGCAUAAAAUUAAAACUUUCUUUUUUUAUUCACACUUUCUUUAAAAAAAAAAAAAAAACAACUAUUUCAAAAUAUAUUUUUUCUUAAAGCCCAUUAAAGACUAAGCCCUUGUUUAAGCCCCAUUAUUUUGAAAAAAAAAAAAAAAAAAUUGCAUUUUUCAAUAGUAUUUUAACAUCAGUUCAACCACACAUUUUUCAAUAAAAUAAUAUUACACGUAAAUUCAAAACUUUUCUUAUUUUUUAACCACACAUUUCUCAUCAAUACACUAUUCAAAAAUUCAUUCUUUCUCUUGACAUGGGGCUUAAACAAGGGCUAAAUAAACAAAUUACUUAUUUAUGUUCAUAUUUGUCUCUCUUUAAAACAAUUUUUUUUUUUUAAUGUUCAUACUCAUUUUUAACCACAAAUUCACAUAAUAAAAUAUUUUAUAAGUAAAUUCAAAAAAAUUUCUAUUUUUUAAUCAAACAUUCUAAAAAAAAAAUCACAAUUCAAAAAAACUUUUUUUCCUAAUAUUGACCCUCAAAUAAGGACUUUACAUUCUAGUACUUUCUUUUACAGGCCAAACACUUACUAAUAUGAACUAGACGUCGUAACGUGCGUUACAAGAGUUUUGUAAUUUUUGUUUAGGGAUGGGUAAGUAGUAUAUAUGAUACUAAAACUAUAUAUUUAUUUUUCAACUGCUAAUUGGGCUUGCAUAAUUGUAUAAAAAAUUGAAAACAAAGUAAAAAUUUGAAGUUUUUUAAAAAAAUAGAAAAAAAAUAGUACCUAGCAUAGCGUUGAAAAUGCAUUAUAGUGAUUAUUAGGUAUAUACUAGAAAUACCUCGGGAUUGGAAAGAAGAGUAUAAGGAGUGAUAUUGCAUAAGAAGUGUGAGAAAAAACCGACCACUAGAGAAUGAGAUUACUAUUAAGUCAAUAAUACUUGUUGGUUGUGUUCUAAUAUAGGUAUAAGUUCAAUUAUUGGCUAAUUGCGUGCGCACGCGCACACACUGAGACACUCUAGUCGAGCAUCGGAUAAGUAAAGAUUUAUUUUUGAUGUUGUUUGGAUAUUUCUAAAGUGUUAUUUAAAUUUGA
This 2515-nucleotide long non-coding RNA is filed under the name Olea europaea (common olive). RNAcentral describes it as "long non-coding RNA (OEUR_LNC009858)". The record is from RNAcentral. Lineage: Eukaryota; Viridiplantae; Streptophyta; Magnoliopsida; Lamiales; Oleaceae.